RNAcentral lists this ribosomal RNA (3545 nucleotides) under Triticum aestivum (bread wheat). RNAcentral's name for it is "partial small subunit ribosomal RNA". The record is from RNAcentral. Lineage: Eukaryota; Viridiplantae; Streptophyta; Magnoliopsida; Poales; Poaceae.
CCUCUCCCUCGCUCUCCCCAAACCCGUGCUCGCAUCGCGAGUCGCAAACCCCUCGCGGCCGCCGCAGGAAGCCGCGUCGAUGGGCGACUACGGCAGCGCGAUGACGCGGGGCAACGCGGACGGCGGCUCGCAGGGCCGCCCAAAGGGAGUGCCCCGCGCCAACGUCCAGCAGCUCAAGCUCAUGGGGCAGGGCCACCCGACUGGUCUCACGCCGAACCUGCUCAAGCUGUUCGAGGCGCGGCCUAUGCUCGAGCACAAGCCGCCCGUCCAGAAGCGCAAGUUGCCAUCCUACACGGGGAUGGCGCAGUUUGUGUCGCGGUUUGCCGAGCCUGGCGACCCAGAGUAUGCGCCGCCUGUCCCAACGUGUGAGACUAAGGCCGAAAAGAAGGAUAGAAUCAGGAAACUUAAGCUUGAGCAAGGGGCAGAUAAGGUCGCCAAAGAGCUUCAGAACUAUGACCCACAAAGUGACCCCAAUACCACUUCAGAUCCAUACAAAACACUCUUCGUUGCAAGACUUAAUUAUGAGACAUCUGAGAGCAGGGUUAAGCGGGAGUUUGAAGCCUAUGGGCCUAUUAAAAGGGUAGGUGCAUGUGGUAAAUCCCAGUACAGGUGGAGUUAUUCCUCUUUGAAUUGUAUGUUGUUCAGUUAUUGUGAUCAGCAAGCCUCAUGGGAUGAAAUUUCAAAGAAACAGUGGAUCCGCUGCCACCAUAUAUCUUCACUGUAGUUUUUGUGUGCCAAGGUGACUUUUGGACACACGGCGUUAUACUUUUGGUCUAUUUUAGCUACCACACAGAGCUAGAAGCUUCCCACAGCUCCCAAAGGAUUGCCUAUGAACUUCUGUUUGAUCUUGUCGUUAUUCUCGGAAUAUUACUUGGAGCCUUUGAGGUGUUCUUUAUUUUUUCCUGGUGGAAAAUAAUGAAGAGCCUCUUAUUUUAUUUUAUUUUUUUCAAAAAUAGUACUCCCUGUAUUUCAAACGACUUUGCGUAUUAGUUUUGUACAAACUUUGACCCAAUUUUGGUAGCAAAAAGUACCAACAACACAACACAAUAUAAAUGUCAUUAGAUCCAUCAUGAAAUAUAUUUUCAUAUUUGCCAAUUCAAUCAGUACUAUUUUGUGUACCAAACAAAACAUGCUUUUAUUUGUUAAGUCGACAAGAGGUGGUGUAAGGCAGUUCUUAAGCAAAACCGGUCGAGAGAAAAAAUCAGCAAAACUGAAAACAGGACGGAAGAAGUAACGUAAGACGGAACCUUUUGUAUUUUCAAGUGGGAGAGAUUAUUUGGAUUGUAGGUGUUGAUAUUUUUUUUCUACUAACUUGGUCAAAUUUUACGAAGUUUGGUUUGGGACAAAACUAAUGUGCAAUGCAUUGUAAAAUGGAGGGAGUAUCUGUAGAAGUCAAACUUGGCUUCUAAAAGCUGAUACUGUAUUUGUUGUGUUUUGCAUGUGGAUGCAUACAUUUUGUGACCGCCCUUCAGUAGCUGAUGUUGUAUGUGCUAAACAAAUAAAAUAUUAAUUAGAUUCUGUAGGCGAAAUUUUAAUCGUGCGUCUAACAUGUAUUCAUCUAAAAGUCAUACAAAAGCUGAAGGAAAUUUAUGAGACAUAAUGGCAUGUCAUGAAAUUUCUAAAUCUGAAUUUGACACAUGGCCUGAGAUAUAAAGAAGUCGUGCUGUGAAUAGUGCCAAGUUGGGUACUUCUACUCAAUAUUUGAUCUGGUAAUAUUCAAAGUUGGAUUUAUUUUUCUUGUUCUAACAUCAAUAAUUUGGAUUUUUUUACUCCACAUGAUGUGCACGUGAUGUCUAUGUUGUAAAUAAAAGGUUGGAAUUUUUUAAUGCUUUUAGAGGUCAUUUGUAGGCUCAGGUGCACCAGGUACACCACAAGCCUAGGUGCACAAGAUACACCAUCGUAUAUACAUGACUGUUUGUAGGUCUUUAUACAAUCUGUCCUUGCUAUCCAUCUUUAAACAUGUGGGGAUUUAGUGUUACCUAUGAAAUUGACACACUUAAUGCUAAGCAGAUAAAGUAACAUAGAUUUCAGACAGAAUUUUCUGCUUCCUAGUAAAUUAAUUAGUCAUUUAUACUGAAUCUUCGGUAAGCCAGUUUAAUCUGAGAUUCAUUGAUACUAACAUCGAUUACUUACUAUUAAUCGCACCAAUCAUGUAAUUGUUUUCUGCUAUUUCUCUUUUCUUCGCCCCGAAGAUUAAGAACCAAUUCGUAACUGUUGCUGCUAUUUUCUUUUCUUGGCCACGGCUGAACAAAAUACACACAACUGAGAGGGCAACUUGGUAUAGUAUUUACUAUUUAAGUCUACAGUUAUAUAUAUAUAUAUAGUUAGCCAGUUCCCUGGUAAGGGGAUAUCAUCGUAUUUUCCGACAUACGCCAAUCAGUCAGACUGCUUUUCCUCCAACUGUUGAUCUGUGCUGGAUUUCACUCCUCAUAAUGGAAGCUCUACAUAUGCAAGGUACGGCUCGUAACUGACAAGGAUACCAAUAAACCUAGAGGAUAUGCAUUCAUAGAGUAUAUGCAUACUCGGGAUAUGAAAAAUGCUUACAAGCAAGCUGAUGGGAGAAAAGUGGACAAUAAGAGGGUACUAGUUGAUGUGGAACGUGGUAGAACUGUCCCUAAUUGGCGUCCCAGGAGAUUAGGCGGUGGACUUGGAUCAAGCAGAAUUUGUGGUGCAAGUGCUGACCAGAAGCCGCCUGCCAGGGAGCCAUUGAGUGUUGGGCGCCCCAGAUCAGAAGAACCUAAGAGGGGUGAUUCCCGCGUAGAUAGAGAUCGGGAGAAGUCUCGUGAAAGGGUACGGGAAAGAGACCGCGAUGAAAAUCCCCGUGAGCGUUCUCAUGACAGAAUACGUGAGCUUGAUUCAAGGGAAGAGAGGCACCACCAUAGAGAUCGGGACAGGACUCGGGACAGGGACCGAGGAAGGGACCGGGAAAAAGACCAUGGGCGUGACCGUGACCGUGAUCGUCGGGACAGAGAUAGGGAUAGGGACCGUGGUAGGGAUCAUGAUAGGGAGAAGGAUCGUGGCCUCUCAUGAUCGUCACCGUGAGAGAGGCAGGGAUCGCGAGAGAGAUCAUGAGCGUGCAAGUUACGAGCGUGACCGCGCUCACUUGAAGGAUAGGGAUGCUGAAUACAACGGUGAGCCAAAGCAUGACAGGAGCAUGGCUGAAUAUGGGAAGCAUUAUGGCUCUAACCAGUAUGAGCAACACAAAAGUUAUGAGUCGUAUUGCUAUCAAGUUCAAGGCGGGCAUGGGCAUGAAACUGAAAGCUCAAAGCGACAUGAGCAUGAACACUAUCAGGCACAACCCAACACAGAACCUGAAGGCCCUGAAGAAGGCGAGGCAUAUGAGGAAGGUGACUACCAGUAUCACCAAGUAGCAGAAGAGCAAAAGACUGAAGCUUGAUCACUGCAAUGCUUUAGUUUUCGUGGGUGUGCUUUUCCGAAGGGAGGCACAAAGAAUGUCAACUUGCUGGCUCGGAUAUGUGAUGUUUUGUUUUAUUCUGGUUGUCAUCAGUGCAAAUGUGGUCGCAUUGUACGACAGACUGUUAACU